AGGAAUUUAGGAUUACACAAACCAAGAGCCUUCAAAGCCCUAAACAAGAGAAAACCCUCUUAAUUUCUA
RNAcentral lists this transfer RNA (69 nucleotides) under Pseudemydura umbrina (Western swamp turtle). Its description in RNAcentral is "tRNA-Trp". The record is from RNAcentral. Lineage: Eukaryota; Metazoa; Chordata; Testudines; Chelidae.